CCUACGGGAGGCAGCAGUGAGGAAUAUUGGUCAAUGGACGAGAGUCUGAACCAGCCAAGUAGCGUGAAGGAUGACGGCCCUAUGGGUUGUAAACUUCUUUUAUAUGGGAAUAAAAUGUUCCACGUGUGGGAUUUUGUAUGUACCAUAUGAAUAAGGAUCGGCUAACUCCGUGCCAGCAGCCGCGGUAAUACGGAGGAUCCGAGCGUUAUCCGGAUUUAUUGGGUUUAAAGGGAGCGUAGGUGGAUUGUUAAGUCAGUUGUGAAAGUUUGGGGCUCAACCGUAAAAUUGCAGUUGAAACUGGCAGUCUUGAGUACAGGAGAGGUAGGCGGAAUGCGUGGUGUAGCGGUGAAAUGCUUAGAUAUCACGAAGAACUCCGAUUGCGAAGGCAGUUCACUGGACUGCAACUGACACUGAGGCUCGAAAGUGUGGGUAUCAAACAGGAUUAGAUACCCGGGUAGUC
Molecule: ribosomal RNA, 460 nt
Filed under: uncultured bacterium
Lineage: Bacteria
Description: partial 16S ribosomal RNA
Rfam family: Bacterial small subunit ribosomal RNA
Source: RNAcentral